GUGAGGUAACGGCUCACCAAGGCGACGACGGGUAGCCGGCCUGAGAGGGUGACCGGCCACACUGGGACUGAGACACGGCCCAGACUCCUACGGGAGGCAGCAGUGGGGAAUAUUGCACAAUGGGCGCAAGCCUGAUGCAGCAACGCCGCGUGGGGGACGAAGGCCUUCGGGUUGUAAACCCCUUUUAGCAGGGAAGAAGCGCAAGUGACGGUACCUGCAGAAAAAGCACCUGCUAACUACGUGCCAGCAGCCGCGGUAAUACGUAGGGUGCAAGCGUUGUCCGGAAUUAUUGGGCGUAAAGAGCUCGUAGGCGGUGUGUCGCGUCUGCUGUGAAAAUCCAAGGCUCAACCUUGGACCUGCAGUGGGUACGGGCACACUAGAGUGCGGUAGGGGAGAUUGGAAUUCCUGGUGUAGCGGUGGAAUGCGCAGAUAUCAGGAGGAACACCGAUGGCGAAGGCAGAUCUCUGGGCCGUAACUGACGCUGAGGAGCGAAAGCGUGGGGAGCGAACAGGAUUAGAUACCCUGGUAGUCCACGCCGUAAACGGUGGGAACUAGAUGUGGGGUCCGUUCCACGGAUUCCGUGUCGCAGCUAACGCAUUAAGUU
This 604-nucleotide ribosomal RNA is filed under the name uncultured Actinobacteridae bacterium. RNAcentral describes it as "bacterial SSU rRNA". It matches the Rfam family "Bacterial small subunit ribosomal RNA", at positions 252 to 866 of the family's 1533-position model. The record is from RNAcentral. Lineage: Bacteria; Bacillati; Actinomycetota; Actinomycetes.